RNAcentral lists this ribosomal RNA (433 nucleotides) under uncultured bacterium. RNAcentral describes it as "partial 16S ribosomal RNA". It matches the Rfam family "Bacterial small subunit ribosomal RNA", at positions 29 to 507 of the family's 1533-position model. The record is from RNAcentral.
AGCGAACGCUGGCGGCAGGCUUAACACAUGCAAGUCGAGCGGGCACUUCGGUGUCAGCGGCAGACGGGUGAGUAACACGUGGGAACGUACCCUUUGGUUCGGAAUAACGCUGGGAAACUAGCGCUAAUACCGGAUACGCCCUUUUGGGGAAAGGCUUGCUGCCGAAGGAUCGGCCCGCGUCGGAUUAGCUAGUUGGUGGGGUAAUGGCCUACCAAGGCGACGAUCAGUAGCUGGUCUGAGAGGAUGAUCAGCCACACUGGGACUGAGACACGGCCCAGACUCCUACGGGAGGCAGCAGUGGGGAAUAUUGGACAAUGGGCGCAAGCCUGAUCCAGCCAUGCCGCGUGAGUGAUGAAGGCCUUAGGGUUGUAAAGCUCUUUUGUCCGGGACGAUAAUGACGGUACCGGAAGAAUAAGCCCCGGCUAACUUCGUG